Molecule: ribosomal RNA, 2906 nt
Filed under: Klebsiella michiganensis
Lineage: Bacteria; Pseudomonadati; Pseudomonadota; Gammaproteobacteria; Enterobacterales; Enterobacteriaceae
Description: 23S ribosomal RNA
Rfam family: Bacterial large subunit ribosomal RNA
Source: RNAcentral
GGUUAAGCGACUAAGCGUACACGGUGGAUGCCCUGGCAGUCAGAGGCGAUGAAGGACGUGCUAAUCUGCGAAAAGCGUCGGUAAGGUGAUAUGAACCGUUACAGCCGGCGAUGUCCGAAUGGGGAAACCCAGUGCAAUUCGUUGCACUAUCGUUUGAUGAAUACAUAGUCAAACGAGGCGAACCGGGGGAACUGAAACAUCUAAGUACCCCGAGGAAAAGAAAUCAACCGAGAUUCCCCCAGUAGCGGCGAGCGAACGGGGAGCAGCCCGGAGUCUGAAUCAGCUUGUGUGUUAGUGGAAGCGUCUGGAAAGUCGCAGGGUACAGGGUGAUACUCCCGUACACUAAAACGCACAGGUUGUGAACUCGAAGAGUAGGGCGGGACACGUGGUAUCCUGUCUGAAUAUGGGGGGACCAUCCUCCAAGGCUAAAUACUCCUGACUGACCGAUAGUGAACCAGUACCGUGAGGGAAAGGCGAAAAGAACCCCGGCGAGGGGAGUGAAAAAGAACCUGAAACCGUGUACGUACAAGCAGUAGGAGCCCACUAGUUGGGUGACUGCGUACCUUUUGUAUAAUGGGUCAGCGACUUAUAUUCUGUAGCAAGGUUAACCGUAUAGGGGAGCCGCAGGGAAACCGAGUCUUAACUGGGCGUUAAGUUGCAGGGUAUAGACCCGAAACCCGGUGAUCUAGCCAUGGGCAGGUUGAAGGUUGGGUAACACUAACUGGAGGACCGAACCGACUAAUGUUGAAAAAUUAGCGGAUGACUUGUGGCUGGGGGUGAAAGGCCAAUCAAACCGGGAGAUAGCUGGUUCUCCCCGAAAGCUAUUUAGGUAGCGCCUCGUGAACUCAUCUUCGGGGGUAGAGCACUGUUUCGGCUAGGGGGUCAUCCCGACUUACCAACCCGAUGCAAACUACGAAUACCGAAGAAUGUUAUCACGGGAGACACACGGCGGGUGCUAACGUCCGUCGUGAAGAGGGAAACAACCCAGACCGCCAGCUAAGGUCCCAAAGUCAUGGUUAAGUGGGAAACGAUGUGGGAAGGCCCAGACAGCCAGGAUGUUGGCUUAGAAGCAGCCAUCAUUUAAAGAAAGCGUAAUAGCUCACUGGUCGAGUCGGCCUGCGCGGAAGAUGUAACGGGGCUAAACCAUGCACCGAAGCUGCGGCAGCGACACUAUGUGUUGUUGGGUAGGGGAGCGUUCUGUAAGCCGUUGAAGGUGGCCUGUGAGGGUUGCUGGAGGUAUCAGAAGUGCGAAUGCUGACAUAAGUAACGAUAAUGCGGGUGAAAAACCCGCACGCCGGAAGACCAAGGGUUCCUGUCCAACGUUAAUCGGGGCAGGGUGAGUCGACCCCUAAGGCGAGGCCGAAAGGCGUAGUCGAUGGGAAACAGGUUAAUAUUCCUGUACUCGGUGUUACUGCGAAGGGGGGACGGAGAAGGCUAUGUUGGCCGGGCGACGGUUGUCCCGGUUUAAGCAUGUAGGCGGAUGUUCCAGGUAAAUCCGGAACGUUACUAACGCUGAGGUGUGAUGACGAGGCACUACGGUGCUGAAGUGACAAAUGCCCUGCUUCCAGGAAAAGCCUCUAAGCAUCAGGUAACAUCAAAUCGUACCCCAAACCGACACAGGUGGUCAGGUAGAGAAUACCAAGGCGCUUGAGAGAACUCGGGUGAAGGAACUAGGCAAAAUGGUGCCGUAACUUCGGGAGAAGGCACGCUGAUGGUAGGUGAAGCGACUUGCUCGUGGAGCUGAAAUCAGUCGAAGAUACCAGCUGGCUGCAACUGUUUAUUAAAAACACAGCACUGUGCAAACACGAAAGUGGACGUAUACGGUGUGACGCCUGCCCGGUGCCGGAAGGUUAAUUGAUGGGGUUAUCCGUAAGGAGAAGCUCUUGAUCGAAGCCCCGGUAAACGGCGGCCGUAACUAUAACGGUCCUAAGGUAGCGAAAUUCCUUGUCGGGUAAGUUCCGACCUGCACGAAUGGCGUAAUGAUGGCCAGGCUGUCUCCACCCGAGACUCAGUGAAAUUGAACUCGCUGUGAAGAUGCAGUGUACCCGCGGCAAGACGGAAAGACCCCGUGAACCUUUACUAUAGCUUGACACUGAACACUGGUCCUUGAUGUGUAGGAUAGGUGGGAGGCUUUGAAGUGUGGACGCCAGUCUGCAUGGAGCCAUCCUUGAAAUACCACCCUUUAAUGGCUGGUGUUCUAACGUGGGCCCCUGAUCGGGGUUGCGGACAGUGUCUGGUGGGUAGUUUGACUGGGGCGGUCUCCUCCUAAAGAGUAACGGAGGAGCACGAAGGUCAGCUAAUCCUGGUCGGACAUCAGGAGGUUAGUGCAAUGGCAUAAGCUGGCUUGACUGCGAGCGUGACGGCGCGAGCAGGUGCGAAAGCAGGUCAUAGUGAUCCGGUGGUUCUGAAUGGAAGGGCCAUCGCUCAACGGAUAAAAGGUACUCCGGGGAUAACAGGCUGAUACCGCCCAAGAGUUCAUAUCGACGGCGGUGUUUGGCACCUCGAUGUCGGCUCAUCACAUCCUGGGGCUGAAGUAGGUCCCAAGGGUAUGGCUGUUCGCCAUUUAAAGUGGUACGCGAGCUGGGUUUAGAACGUCGUGAGACAGUUCGGUCCCUAUCUGCCGUGGGCGCUGGAGAAUUGAGGGGGGCUGCUCCUAGUACGAGAGGACCGGAGUGGACGCAUCACUGGUGUUCGGGUUGUCAUGCCAAUGGCAUUGCCCGGUAGCUAAAUGCGGAAGAGAUAAGUGCUGAAAGCAUCUAAGCACGAAACUUGCCCCGAGAUGAGUUCUCCCUGACCCUUUAAGGGUCCUGAAGGAACGUUGAAGACGACGACGUUGAUAGGCCGGGUGUGUAAGCGCAGCGAUGCGUUGAGCUAACCGGUACUAAUGAACCGUGAGGCUUAACCUU